This 212-nucleotide long non-coding RNA is filed under the name Capsicum annuum. Its description in RNAcentral is "long non-coding RNA (CANN_LNC019055)". The record is from RNAcentral. Lineage: Eukaryota; Viridiplantae; Streptophyta; Magnoliopsida; Solanales; Solanaceae.
AUGACUACUGGGAUCACAGUCAAGGAAUCCUGAUCGCGGUAGAGCAAAAAAGUUUGAAGGGCAUUUUUAUAAUAUUUGGCAAAUGUGGAAUUGGGACUUAAAUAGGGGUUUUUAUCUCAUUUUUCAUAUUAUCAUUUAUCUUACAUAAUAUCCUAUCCUUAGUUUAUGGUUUAUCACUUGGAGCUUGGAACUUGAAUUUAUACUAAUUGGAG